This 1274-nucleotide ribosomal RNA is filed under the name metagenome. Its description in RNAcentral is "bacterial SSU rRNA". It matches the Rfam family "Eukaryotic small subunit ribosomal RNA", at positions 488 to 1723 of the family's 1831-position model. The record is from RNAcentral.
GUGGUAGUUAAUACUAUGUCAAUUGGAAUGAGAACAAUUAAAAAGAUUUAACGAGAAACAACUGAAGGGCAAGUCUGGUGCCAGCAGCCGCGGUAAUACCAGCUUCAGAAGCAUGUUAAUGUUGCUGCAGUUAAAACGCUCGUAGUUGGAUGUGCUGGCAGGGGUGAUUUGCUGUGUUGGACGGAAGUUCGAUGCGGCGGGCCUUUGUCAUAACAUUUGGGCCAUUUGUUAAGUCAGGUGGUCCUAAUUUACCUUGAAAAAAUAUUACUGCUCAAAGUAUGUCUUACGACAAUGUGAUUUCAGCAUGGGAUAAUGGAAAACGGGUCUGGGGUAACAGCCGGACCAAUGGUUAAUGAGGACGAUUGUGGAAGUUCAUAUUUACUCGUCAGAGGUGAAAUUCUUGGAUUGUGUAAAGAUGAACCUCAGCGAAGGCAUUCUCCAAGGACGUGCCUGUCAAUCAAGAACGAAAGUAGGGGGAUCGAAGACGAUCAGAUACCGUCGUAGUCUCUACAGUAAACGAUGCCGACUAAGAAUUGGAUAACGUUUUAAGAGUGCCUUUCGCGUGCUCUGAUGACUUCUCCAGCGCUUUACAAGAAAUUAAGAGUUUUUGGGUUCCGGGGGGAGUAUAGUCACAAGGCCGAAACUUAAAGGAAUUGACGGAAGGGCACCACCAGGCGUGGAGCCUGCGGCUUAAUUUGACCCAACACGGGAAAACUUACCAGGUCCAGACAGCGUGAGGAUUGACAGAUUGAAAGCUCUUUCAUGAUUCGUUGGGUGGUGGUGCAUGGCCGUUCUUAGUUGGUGGUGUGAGUUGUCUGGUUGAUUCCGUUAACGAACGAGACCUUUGUUGUAAAAUAGGGGAAAGGAGCUUUUGCGUCAAGGUAUGGCGUUACGUGUUGGGAUCCGAGCAAUCGCCCCGGCACUCUAGCGUCAUGUUGCAUAGCUACUUUCAGUUUCCCUUCUUUACGAGACAAUCAAAGAAAAUCUGAUGGAAGUUAUAGGCAAAAACAGGUCUGUGAUGCCCUUCGAUGUUCUGGGCUGCACGCGCGCUACAAUGAUAAAGUCAACGAGUAUUUUAGCUUGAGAGAAAUCACUGGCAAAUCUUUGAAACUUUAUCGUAUUAUGGAUUGCUGAUUGCAAUUAUUCGGCAUGAAACAGGAAUGCCUAGUAUCGGUGAGUCAUCAGCUUGCCGAGAUUACGUCCCUGCCCUUUGUACACACCGCCCGUCGCUCCUACCGAUUGAAACAUACGGUGAAAUUCUCGGAGAGCUGAGU